Amphimedon queenslandica is the source of this 1168-nucleotide long non-coding RNA. RefSeq lists it as uncharacterized. The record is from RefSeq and is a predicted model, not a curated record. NCBI's taxonomy places the organism in Eukaryota, Metazoa, Porifera, Demospongiae, Haplosclerida, Niphatidae. The transcript is spliced from 8 exons.
ACGGUAUAUGAAUUACUAUAAAUUAUAUUAACUGUGCAGUCUAAUAAUAUUUUUAUUUUACAUUAGGUAAUUUAUGCAAGUGUACUGGUUACAGGCCAAUCUUGGAUGGGUUUAGGUCAUUCUGUAAAGAUUGUAGUUGCUCAGAAAAACAAGAAGAACUUAAGAAUUAUGGCAAUAAAAGAUUCAUUAUUGAACCAUCACAAGAAGUUAUAUUUCCUCCAGAAUUAAAAUUACAACAUUCAGCAAUGACCUCACUGCUUAUACAAGGAUCAAGAACAAAGUGGUAUCGUCCUAUAACAUUGAAUGAGCUCCUUACAAUAAGAGAGCAGUUUCCUGCCAAUUCAGAUAACAUGAUUGUUGCUGGAAAUGUUGGAAUUGAUUGUGACAAACUAGCCAAACCUUCUAUUUUAAUAGCAGUUAGUUGUGUGAAUGAGUUGCAAGUAUUAGAAAUUAAUGAGAAAGGUCUACUAGUUGGAGCAGCUGUCACUAUAGGACGUCUUGAAGAGAAACUAAUGAAAAUCAUGGAGUCUUUACCUGAGUGAAAGACCAAAUAAUUUAAAGCACUUUUAGAUAUGCUGCAUUGGUUUGCAAGCCCUGAAAUCAAAAACAUUGCUACAAUAGGGGGAAAUAUUGUGAAUGGUACUCCUGAUUCUGAUCUUAUACCAGUAUUAAUUGUCACUGGUACUAUUCUUAAUUUUGCUUCAAAAGGUUUUGCAAACUGAUAUAUUAAUAGAUGUUGGGGACAGCUUGAAUCCAGCUAUUGAUAUUGGGCAAAUUGAAGAUGCAUUUAUUCAGGGAUUGGUUUGUUUGAUGGAAAUCUUUAUACUGACAGUCCUACUACAUAUAAAAUACCAGGCUGUAGUGAUAUACCUAUUCAGAUGAAUGUUACACUUUUGGAUAAUUGUCCUAAUAAGAAGGCAAUAUUCUCAUCUAAAGCUAUUGGUGAACCUCCAUUGUUCCUGGCAUCUUCAGUGUUUUUUGCUAUCAGAGAUACUGUCAAGAGUGCUAGAGAAGAAAAAGGAGUUGCUGGAUACUUUGAAUUUUUAGUCCAGCCUCAACUGAGAGAAUAAGAUUGGCUUGUGAAGACCAGCUCAAUAGUUUGAGCAGACAUUUUGUGUCAAUUUAUAAUUAUUUUAAGUUAUUUUUCAUGGUUAAUGAGCUAUUAAAA